UUUUGAAAGGGACCAAUGGUUUUUGGAAUGAGUUUCGUUCGUAGUUUGUAAUUUUUGUGAUUUCAUCCAGGGAAUAUAGGAGCUGUGGUGAUGAAAUUUUCCAACACAAAAGAAAAAGACAUGGAAGCAGUAAUCAAACACUGGCUGAAAUCUUCAAAAACUCGGUUUACCAGCAAAGAGAAAUCUAAAAAUGUUCAAACACCGGAUCCUGGAGGAAAAUCUGAAUGCUUCAAAAAUUGAGAUUGAAUUGAGGUGCAGUAACAUAAACCAGUAUGUAGCUCAAAAAAUUGCUACUUUAAACAGGAAGAGAUUAAAGUAUUCUGGAGCACCACAAUAAGGACCUUUCUUAAUAGAUAAAUGACACACAUAUGAGUUAUUUUAAUAAAAAACUUCUCACAUU
RNAcentral lists this long non-coding RNA (400 nucleotides) under Nilaparvata lugens (brown planthopper). RNAcentral describes it as "uncharacterized LOC111054229". Lineage: Eukaryota; Metazoa; Arthropoda; Insecta; Hemiptera; Delphacidae. The record is from RNAcentral.